This 395-nucleotide ribosomal RNA is filed under the name uncultured bacterium. Its description in RNAcentral is "bacterial SSU rRNA". It matches the Rfam family "Bacterial small subunit ribosomal RNA", at positions 39 to 422 of the family's 1533-position model. The record is from RNAcentral.
GGCCGCGGGAAUUCGAUUCAGGCCUAACACAUGCAAGUCGAGCGGUAGAGAGAAGCUUGCUUCUCUUGAGAGCGGCGGACGGGUGAGUAAUGCCUAGGAAUCUGCCUGGUAGUGGGGGAUAACGUUCGGAAACGGACGCUAAUACCGCAUACGUCCUACGGGAGAAAGCAGGGGACCUUCGGGCCUUGCGCUAUCAGAUGAGCCUAGGUCGGAUUAGCUAGUUGGUGAGGUAAUGGCUCACCAAGGCGACGAUCCGUAACUGGUCUGAGAGGAUGAUCAGUCACACUGGAACUGAGACACGGUCCAGACUCCUACGGGAGGCAGCAGUGGGGAAUAUUGGACAAUGGGCGAAAGCCUGAUCCAUCAGGGCCGCGUGUGUGAAGAAGGUCUUCGGA